CAUGUUUCUUUGCAACUAUCUCAUAAUGGCAACUAAGUGCCUGCGGGUUUGUCAAUACCAUCUAACGUCAAAAUCCGCAAUCACUUAGUUGCCAACCCAAUAUGUUACAGAUGAACUGCGCCACAAUUUUUACUGCGAAUAUUUCACGUUCCAGUGAACCGCAGCAACAACUAUACUACAUAUACACGUAUUUAUGUGUUAGUAGACAUAUUUUUCAUAUACGAAUAAACAAAAAUAUUCGCAAGAGAAUCGCUAGCGAAAUUGGCGUGUGUUUACGAAACGUGAAAUUUUCGCUGUAAAUACCGGGUUGGCAACUAAGCGAUCGCUGAUUUUAACAUUUGAUGGUAUUGACAAAAUUUGCAAUCACUUAGUUGCCAACCUAAUAGUUUCAAUCCUCCUUUGCUUCCAUUGCUUUUCCUCUAGUCAUCUCUGUUUGUCCCUAUCAUUCGUUCUCUUUUGGCAACGUUUUAUAGCAGUUUUUUUCCUCUUCUUUGUUCUUUUUCUUCGCAUUGGAGAAGCAGAUAGUGGCUUGUUGGAAAUAGGCGUUCGAUGAUCUUGGUGUUCUGAUGGCCGGACGAUGAGUCAUGGGGGGCUUUGACGAAGGUGAUUAGAAAUACGAUAGUUUGAGGAGAUGGGAGUGAUGGUAAGGUAGGAAUGAGUGCGAUGGUCUUUACGAUUGUAACUUCUUUUGUUAUCUUUUUAACAAGAGACUGGUAACAAUUGUUAAGAAUUAUGUGGGUCUCGUUGAUAGAAUUAAUGAUCGUUGUGUAAUUCUGGUACUAAACUGUUACCUACCGAUCUUUACAAGAUUUUCACAAGAGGAGCUGGCAAGCUUUAACUCUUUGCACUGCAAAUUUUAUUUCAAUUUCGUUACCAGCAGCUGCCAACGCUUUUAAGAUGCCAUCCUGCUUUUCUUUUGCACGUUUCACAAUGAAAGGUGAGACUCGACAAAGGAGCUCCUGAGAUAAAAACUGAUGUCGAAUCACACUCCACAUAGCAGUGCAAACAAUAAUUAUUAAUGCACAUCUCUGUAUAUUGAUGACUGUUUAAAAUUAUAUUUGAUAACGAGUAGUUGUUAAGAUUAUAAUUUUUCUCAUUAUCUUUUUAAAAUACUAUCUGGAAAUAUUUAUUUUAAUCUGUUCUAUUUAAUCUGUUUCUAUUAAAUUAAUUAAAUUAAUUGUCCUAUUUAAUCUAUUUAAUUAACAAAUGUUAAAUAUUUAUUUUAUUAUUUUAGUCUUAAAAUAAUCCACAAACAUUUGAAGAUAAAUAUCUUACAGCUUUUAAGACAAUUAUAAACAUGUUGGUGUAUAUUUUUGAAAAGACUCGUAAGGUAUUCAACAACUUGUAUUUCUACCGAGAUCUUAUUCGCUGAGAAAAGAAAUUAUUUAACGAAAUGGUAGCGCAUUACCUGCGUUAUGUAAACCGAGACCCUGACCUAGGUUCUACCGUAUCCUCUCAUGAGAUUUAAAGCGGAGAAUACGAGCCAGUGGUCACAAUGAAUUUACCUUCUCUCCGAACGAGUAUUUAGAAGGUGGGUCACAGAAGAGAACAACGAGAAAUAGAGCUACUGAGACACGAUGCUUGUUGGAAAUGCGAAAUAGACUUUCCACGGUCGUAGAAUAAAUCAACAUUUAACUUAAAUUGUUUAGAAAGAUGUUUUUACUCUUCGAUGUUCUCCACUUUGAAAUUUCAAUACUAAAUACGUGUAAAUGUACUUCGUUAUUCGUCUUCAUAAUUUACGAUAUCUCCCAUAUUACAGUUUGCCAGUUGUACGUAUGCUGCACAGUUGAACGGUUUACCUUUUCUUUUUCCUUACUUUCUAUUUGAUUAUCUAUGUUCUAAAACUACUCAGCUUAGCUCUAUAUAAAAAAGUAUGUAUUUGUGUUGCAAUUCGUUUGAGAUGAAUUCAACGUGUAGGUGUAUUUAAUUAAGAACGUAACGAGUGGACGAAUUCGUGAUAGCCAGUUGUAUUAAAAUAAUUAUAAGUACGAGAGAUAGUGUACGCCAGUUAUAAUCGUCGCUUGCUCAAUGCUACUAUACCGAUCGAAUAAAGGAUAACAAUAAUCUCCUAGGGGGCACGUUCAUCUAUUUAUAUCGACAGACGGUAGCACAAAAAGUUAAUAUUCUUAUGUAACUCUGGCUGAAGAUUAGAAGAAACGGCAGUAACAAUUUGUUGGGAGUACGUUUACCUCUGGAACUUGCAAACCAAAACAGUCGUUAAUAUUCUGUUGAAGUAAUUA
Bombus terrestris (buff-tailed bumblebee) is the source of this 2240-nucleotide long non-coding RNA. RefSeq lists it as uncharacterized. The transcript is spliced from 3 exons. The record is from RefSeq and is a predicted model, not a curated record. NCBI's taxonomy places the organism in Eukaryota, Metazoa, Arthropoda, Insecta, Hymenoptera, Apidae.